AGCGAACUGAUUAGAAGCUUGCUUCUAUGACGUUAGCGGCGGACGGGUGAGUAACACGUGGGCAACCUGCCUGUAAGACUGGGAUAACUUCGGGAAACCGAAGCUAAUACCGGAUAGGAUCUUCUCCUUCAUGGGAGAUGAUUGAAAGAUGGUUUCGGCUAUCACUUACAGAUGGGCCCGCGGUGCAUUAGCUAGUUGGUGAGGUAACGGCUCACCAAGGCAACGAUGCAUAGCCGACCUGAGAGGGUGAUCGGCCACACUGGGACUGAGACACGGCCCAGACUCCUACGGGAGGCAGCAGUAGGGAAUCUUCCGCAAUGGACGAAAGUCUGACGGAGCAACGCCGCGUGAGUGAUGAAGGCUUUCGGGUCGUAAAACUCUGUUGUUAGGGAAGAACAAGUACGAGAGUAACUGCUCGUACCUUGACGGUACCUAACCAGAAAGCCACGGCUAACUACGUGCCAGCAGCCGCGGUAAUACGUAGGUGGCAAGCGUUAUCCGGAAUUAUUGGGCGUAAAGCGCGCGCAGGCGGUUUCUUAAGUCUGAUGUGAAAGCCCACGGCUCAACCGUGGAGGGUCAUUGGAAAC
Molecule: ribosomal RNA, 587 nt
Filed under: Bacillus sp. FJAT-4407
Lineage: Bacteria; Bacillati; Bacillota; Bacilli; Caryophanales; Bacillaceae
Description: bacterial SSU rRNA
Rfam family: Bacterial small subunit ribosomal RNA
Source: RNAcentral